UGAUUCUGCCAGUAGUCAUAUGCUUGUCUCAAAGAUUAAGCCAUGCAUGUCUAAGUAUAAACACGUUAUACUGUGAAACUGCGAAUGGCUCAUUAAAUCACUUAUAGUUUAUUUGAUGGUUUUUGCUACAUGGAUAACUGUGGUAAUUCUAGAGCUAAUACAUGCGUACAAGCCCCGACUUCUGGAAGGGGUGUAUUUAUUAGAUAAAAAUCAACACUGUUGGUGAAUCAUGAUAACUUCUCGGAUCGCAUGGCCUCGUGCUGGCGAUACUUCAUUCAAAUAUCUGCCCUAUCAACUGUCGAUGGUAGGAUAGAGGCCUACCAUGGUUGCAACGGGUAACGGGGAAUAAGGGUUCGAUUCCGGAGAGGGAGCCUGAGAAACGGCUACCACAUCCAAGGAAGGCAGCAGGCGCGCAAAUUACCCAAUCCCGACACGGGGAGGUAGUGACAAUAUGUAACAAUAUACGGCUUUAUCGUCGUAUAAUUGGAAUGAGUACAAUUUAAAUCCCUUAACGAGGAACAAUUGGAGGGCAAGUCUGGUGCCAGCAGCCGCGGUAAUUCCAGCUCCAAUAGCGUAUAUUAAAGUUGUUGCAGUUAAAAAGCUCGUAGUUGGACCUUGGGCCUGGACCGGCGGUCCGCCUCACGGCGUGUACUGUCUUGCCGGGCCUUUCCUCUUGGUGAUCUGUUGUUUCGGCAGCAGGGAACCAGGACCUUUACUUUGAAAAAAUUAGAGUGUUCAAAGCAGGCUCGACGCCGGAAUAUAUUAGCAUGGAAUAACAAAAUAGGACGUGCGGCUCUAU
This 799-nucleotide ribosomal RNA is filed under the name uncultured fungus. RNAcentral's name for it is "SSU rRNA". It matches the Rfam family "Eukaryotic small subunit ribosomal RNA", at positions 9 to 840 of the family's 1831-position model. Lineage: Eukaryota; Fungi. The record is from RNAcentral.